UACGUAGGGGGCAAGUGUUAUCCGGAUUUACUGGGUGUAAAGGGAGCGUAGACGGAAUUGCAGGUCUGAUGUGAAAAUCCGGGGCCCAACCCCGGAACUGCAUUGGAAACUGUAUUUCUAGAGUGUCGGAGAGGCAAGUGGAAUUCCUGGUGUAGCGGUGAAAUGCGUAGAUAUCAGGAGGAACACCAGUGGCGAAGGCGGCUUGCUGGACGAUGACUGACGUUGAGGCUCGAAAGCGUGGGGAGCAAACAGG
Molecule: ribosomal RNA, 253 nt
Filed under: uncultured bacterium
Lineage: Bacteria
Description: partial 16S ribosomal RNA
Rfam family: Bacterial small subunit ribosomal RNA
Source: RNAcentral